Molecule: ribosomal RNA, 253 nt
Filed under: uncultured bacterium
Lineage: Bacteria
Description: partial 16S ribosomal RNA
Rfam family: Bacterial small subunit ribosomal RNA
Source: RNAcentral
UACGGAGGGAGCUAGCGUUGUUCGGAAUUACUGGGCGUAAAGAGCGCGCAGGCGGUCGUUCAAGUCGCGUGUGAAAGCCCCCGGCUCAACUGGGGAGAGUCACGCGAUACUGAUCGACUCGAAGGCAGGAGAGGGUAGUGGAAUUCCCGGUGUAGUGGUGAAAUGCGUAGAUAUCGGGAGGAACACCAGUGGCGAAGGCGACUACCUGGCCUGUUCUUGACGCUGAGGCGCGAAAGCUAGGGGAGCAAACGGG